RNAcentral lists this ribosomal RNA (631 nucleotides) under uncultured marine eukaryote. Its description in RNAcentral is "SSU rRNA". It matches the Rfam family "Eukaryotic small subunit ribosomal RNA", at positions 619 to 1255 of the family's 1831-position model. The record is from RNAcentral.
UUAAAAAGCUCGUAGUUGGAUUUCUGUUGAGGGCGACCGGUGUACACCUCGUGUAUUAUUUGGUUCGGUCUCGGCAUCCUCUUGGGGAACGUUUCUGGACUUUAUUGGACAGGGCGAGAUUCAAGACUUUUACUUUGAGGAAAUUAGAGUGUUCACGGCAGGCAAGCGCUUUGAAUACAUUAGCAUGGAAUAAUAAUAUAGGACCUUCGUUCUAUUUUGUUGGUUUCUAGAACUUAGGUAAUGAUUAAUAGGGACAAUUGGGGGCAUUCGUAUUAACGCGUCAGAGGUGGAAUUCUUGGAUUGCGUUACGACGGACUACUGCGAAAGCAUUUGCCAAAGAUGUUUUCAUUGAUCAAGAACGAAAGUAUGGGGAUCGAAGACGCUUAGAUACCGUCGUAGUCUAUACCAUAAACUAUGCCAACUAGAGAUUGGAGGGGUUCUCCUAUGUGGCUCCUUCAGCAUCUUAUGAGAAAUCAAAGUUUUUGGGUUCCGGGGGGAGUAUGGUCGCAAGGCUGAAACUUAAAGGAAUUGACGGAAGGGCACCACCAGGAGUGGAGCCUGCGGCUUAAUUUGACUCAACACGGGAAAACUUACCAGGUCCAGACAUAGUAAGGAUUGACAGAUUGAUAGC